Molecule: non-coding RNA, 2850 nt
Organism: Equus caballus (horse)
Lineage: Eukaryota; Metazoa; Chordata; Mammalia; Perissodactyla; Equidae
Source: RefSeq, a predicted model, not a curated record
UUACGGAUAGAGAUUACUGUUAUUAAUCCAGAACUAAAUGUAAAAGAAUGCUUUGUCAGAAACGGUUUUAGCUGCUGAUAGUGGGUGGUCGAUAAUACUGAAUCAAUUUGGAUGAGUAAUAUGUUAAGAAUUGCUAUUGGAAUUGGCUUUGAAAGAAACUUAAAUAUUGCUUAAGAGCCUGUUUGAAGUAUUUUGAGGGGGUACUUUAAAAAUAAUAAAUUUUCCUUGCAUCAGAAGCAGGUUUAAAAUGCGCUGAAUCUACAGGGUUUAAUGGAUAUGGUUGAAAUGAGAUUUAUGGAAUCUUUUUUGGUUAUCUUUUGCCUAAAUUACUCAUAGUGUCUUUCACAUAUGAGGGAAGUCUACUUCUUGCUUUUUGCAUUGUGAAAUGCUUGAUCUAUAAUUUUGAUUUCUUCAUUAAGAUGGAAUGUUUUUGUGUCAGGUUGUCCCAGGACAGACUGAUCUGUUUCUCUUAUGUAGAGUGCUACUUAUAAAAUAGAUGGCAUCAUCAUUCAGAUCGACUUACUGCACUUUCUGACACUAGCGCGGGAAGCAGUGCUUCUGAGUUCACAUGUCCCCAGUCAUCCCCUGCUUGUUGAGGAAAUUAGGUCUGUGUUCUUUUCUGGCUUCCACUGUGCUUUUUUGAGUUGCAUAUGCAGUUUCAGGAGCUGUUUAUUCAUUCCAACAGAGAUGAAUGCAAAUCCACAUUAGCCUGUUUAAACUCUGAUUCUGGAAGAAAAAGUGGGCCUGGAGUUUGGGGAAGAGGUGGGCAUAGUGGAAAGAAUUUAUGCAUUUACCAAAACCAUGCCUUUGUGUCUCUUUCUUUGCACAGUCAUCCCCAGCCAUUUGUUUUUUUAGCACAGGGUUGCGGUUGCUUAGAGACAUGAGCAAGAUCAGUGAAAUCACCAUUUAAAAAAAGCGGUUUCAGGCUGCUAUGUGUGAAUUUUUCCCUCAUUGCUAUUUAUAAAGAUAUAUCUACAAAAAAAACUUGUCACCAUAUACAUAGAUGAUAAACCAUACUUAGCAUUAAAACUCUCUUAAUUUAUCAUGACUUUUUCUGCCUUUUCAAAACAGCUCAAGGAAGCUUAGGAGAGCCCCACGUAAUUUUUUAACUAGUUAAAUCUGAGACUAGAGAGUGGCUUAGUUAUAAUAUGAAACCUAGUAAAGUGAAUAAUAUCUUCUCUUAAGUUUGGGCAUUGUUCAGGUUUCUCUUUAAAUCUAAUUUAGUCAUUAUUCUGUUUAUAAAGCUAGGCAACAAGAAAUGGUGAGCACGUAUUAAAAACAGUCUGCGUCAACUUCCUGGUUGGCCUGGUACUAACUGUUUGCAGAGAGCAGAUGGAUUGCUAAAGUAGCAGUGGCUUUGACUUUAGCUGGUUAAAAGUGAAUGGGUACCGACUACCUGAUUUUACAUGGUCUAGUCGAUUUUCGUAGAAAUUCAUGUGGUUGUCACCCUAAAAGAAAAAAUUAUUUUUGUAUCAUCAGUAAACUUGGAGUCCAGUCUGAGACAAUGAUUCUGAUAAGGUAAAAGGAGCAGGGCUUGGCUCUUAGUAAGUACUUAGGAAAUAUUUAAUGAAGGAAUAAAUUCCCCCAUUCCUCCCACCCAAGUACACAAGAGUCUUGCUAGCUUUUAUAGUGAGAAAGGCAGGGAGGUUGUGAAAAUAAUUCAGAAAAUAGAGUCAGGUGAUAAUUGGUGGCUUAUUAAACACUAUGUGUUGUGCAUUUUAAAGUACUCUAUAAUUUAAAAAAAAGUGUAUAAAGCUGCAUUUUUGUGAUAUAUGUGGUUACUAGUGCCUUUAUAUAUAGUCUAAAGUUUGAACCAAAGCUCCAUGGGAAAAGGACUGUGUCUUGUUUUACUGCUGUCUCUCCCAAUGCCUAGAAUGGUAUCUAGCAUGUAGUUGCACAGUAACUACUUGGACGGACAGGUGGAUGAACAAAUGUCGAACUUUUAACUUAAACCCAAGUUAUUAUGGGCUAUAGUGUUGGGUGCACCGAAUACCUAGAAUAAAAUGCCAUGUAUGGUGGAUUAAGGAAUUCUAAUUUGGUUUUAAAAAUAAUUGUUGUGCUUAGUCUAGUCCAAUCAGGAGUCUUUUAAUUUUAAAAGAAUUCUUUGGCCUAGAAGGAGCUCUGAGAGAUGAAACCAAUAUGUCUCUGUGGGUUUUGGGAGGUUUUGGGGGGUUUUUCUUUUCUUUUUUUGAGAUAUUCUGAUAGAUUGUCAAAUAUGUGAAAAAUUUUAAGCAGGAUGACAGUUUUAUUCUAUAAUUUUCUCUGCAGUUUCUUCACUUUAAUAUUAAUUAAUGCUUAUUUCUAGUUGAGCUGAUAACAUUCUUCUCCCAAAUGUUGCAGAGCUUUUAACCUCCUUUGAUUAGAAUUUCUUCAGGAAGUAGCUUGCAAACAGAAAAAUGUGUGACAUUUAAAGAGUAAUCUUUCUUAGAGAGAUUUUUAAUUCAGAAUCUCUAAAGUGAAAUUUUCUAUUAGAUUUAGCCAUUUAAUGUUUAUUUUUUUAAUUAGUAGGAUCUAAAUUAAAUGCCAGCUGUUGAAAAAAGAACUGUAAGUCAAUUGAAGGAUACACAGAGAAGUAUUUAAAUAUCAAGAAAAAGUGAUGUAGACACAUAGAAGUGUUUUUAGUGUGUGAUCUACUUGUCAUGAACGUUUUAUAUAAAAUUUAUCAAAAACUAGGAAUUAACUGAAAUGUAAAAUUGAAUAUCCUCAAAAUCACUUGGGGAGAGCUUUUCUGUGAUUUAUAGCCAGAAAUAGUAGAUAUGAUUGUCUCAACAUUUCUUGCUGUUUAUUUAGUGCUUUGGCUUAAAAUUGUAAUAAAAAUUAAAGUCCAGAAAUAAAAUUCAUCCCUCAAAA